CUUCUGAAACAUUGCAUUUGUCAUUUCCUGGUCCCACGCAGGUUAAUUAGUUCAGUGCCUUUUACCCGAGUAUUCAAGUUACCUCGGCUUCCAGUCAACUUUAACCCGCCUUCCGUCAGUGCUCAGGUUCUGAUGCGCCUGCUGGCUAUUUUUCAGAGACCUUUAUAUUGUUUUCUUUAGUCAUCUGAACAAAUAUUGUUGAAACUGUUUGAAAACUACUGAGAGCCUGAACAACUUUAAAGAGCAGUGAUAAAUAAGGAUAAGUUGGAGAACUGACUACCAGCAGAGUAGUAGGGAUACUGAUUUUCGAUGCCAUGAAAAAACAGCUUUUUACCUCACGCCAUCAGACUACUCAACACACUUAAGAAAAUUCCAUGAACAGUACCCAAACAAAGACAAACAAACUGUGAAAAUAACUUUGGCUCAAUGUCUCCAGUACGAAAUUUGCACUUUUUCUAUAUUGCACCUUUCAUUGUUGCACCCUUUUCAAAAUACCUCAAAGUUUUUGCUACAUUUUGGCACACUGUGAAUAUUUUAAAUAAUGUAAUGUCUAUUGUCUAUUUUUAUAGGUAUGUUGUCUGUCUGUGUUUUUAAUAUUACUUGCACAUUUGGAGUAUGGGGAAACGUAAUUUCAAUCCUCUGUGCAACUACUGUUGCAUAAUUGAAUUGACAAUAAAGUUUACUUUGAACUU
Long non-coding RNA from Leucoraja erinaceus (little skate), 692 nucleotides. RefSeq lists it as uncharacterized. The transcript has 2 exons. The record is from RefSeq and is a predicted model, not a curated record. NCBI's taxonomy places the organism in Eukaryota, Metazoa, Chordata, Chondrichthyes, Rajiformes, Rajidae.